This 310-nucleotide unclassified non-coding RNA is filed under the name Hevea brasiliensis (rubber tree). The record is from RNAcentral. Lineage: Eukaryota; Viridiplantae; Streptophyta; Magnoliopsida; Malpighiales; Euphorbiaceae.
GUUAUUAAUAAAAUAAAUUUUAACAAAACUUUCUGGUUGGUACAAUACAUCCAUCAAGGAUAUUACAGAGGGCCAAGGAAAAACAAAUUAAGAGACACACUCCCUUUGUCCCUCCUCAUUCUCUUGGUCAUUCACCAUGAUUAUAACUACCUUUAAGAGUAUUUAUCUCCCUCUUGAAUGCUUUAAAAAGAUCAAUGCCAAGACCAGCAUUGAGCAAAUUCAUACCAGCCAUCCCAAACAGAGCCAGUGGCAACUGCACACCCUUUUCAAACUUGGGAGCAUCUCUGAUUAGCUUGAUGGUGAUGAGAAU